Molecule: long non-coding RNA, 1558 nt
Organism: Myiozetetes cayanensis
Lineage: Eukaryota; Metazoa; Chordata; Aves; Passeriformes; Tyrannidae
Exons: 3
Source: RefSeq, a predicted model, not a curated record
CUGCCGCAGGCCCCAAAUCCGAGCACCGAGAACCCGCCUCCGCGUUCCGGCCGCUGCCGCCGCCCGCCCCUUCCUGCCCGGCCCGGCCCGGCCCGCCCUUCCCGCCGGCGCUGCCAUCGGCGUACCGGGGUGAUUUCAGUCAUCAGAGGGCUUCCAGUGCAAACUGAAGCAUGACCGAGGCCCACAGAUGAUCUCAGAGAGUCCAUGAGAAAGCUCUGGAAAUUAAAAGCAAGGGGUAAUCAAGUGUUUUCUUAUUUGAGGGGUAUCCAAGUGUUUUCUCGGCAAGAAUCCUGUGGAGGAAUGGAGCAAAGGAAUGAAAGAAGGAAAGGAAGGAUCUCUAAUCCCAAAAAGAUGGACUAGGUCAGUGUUACCAGCAGAAGACACGGAGUACCACUUUAGUAGCCUCAAGUGCACUUGAAUGCUCAAACUGUCUGUGCUGCCAUGUCCCAGCCCCUCUCUCCCCCAGAGGAGCAACAGAAAGAAAUUAAACAACUGCAGUUGAGGAGGGCAAGGAGUUCAGGAAGGCUCUAAUCUCCUGAACUUGCUGGUGGGGGGAUGAGGUGAGAAGAACUUGUUCUUAUUUGCUGAGAAAUAGAAGCUUUGUCGUAAGCAAACUUCGUAAAAGUGCCUGAGCACUCCUGCUUGUGUUUCUGCUGACAUGGCUUGAUGGACUUUUGGGUGACCCCAGAUUUUAGGAGCCUGGAGAUCUUUCAGCUGCAGAAGGGUGACUCAAAGUGCAGUAACAUCUGGAAGUGGGCUGCUGAACUUCAAGGCUGAUGUUUGAAAAUAGGAUAAUUUUCUAUUGCAUUUCACAUUCCGUGCUGUUAAAAAGAUCUGGGAAAGUGGAAGACAGACCUGCCACUAUUACAGUGCUUUAGAAGCUUCAGAUUUACUCUGUCAGUUCCCACGUCCAAAGUGGAAAAUAUCUUAAAAUUUCCUGGUUCCUAAUUAUUAAAACAAUAUGAAACCAUCUUGCAGAGGUUGGAAGCUUGGACAGCCAGAGAAACACCUAUGAUCCUAACUUAAAAAGUUUAAAACUAGGUGGGAUGAAUCCAUGCUCUGUGUCUGUUUGCUCUGUGCCCCAUUAAUGGGUGGGGGUGACUUGUCUGUGCCUUUUGUCUGAUGUUUCUUGUUGUCCCCCACUGGCCAAGUUUUCAGCCAAGCCCUGAUUCUGGCUCUGCUUUGUCACGAGUGAUGCUCCCUGCUUGGCAUGUGCCUUGUGCUUAUCUGAAUUGCCCACAACCCUCUAAUGCUUCUCAGCUUAUUACUGCCUCAUUAAUCAUUUGCAGGCAGUUUAUGCUUUCAUCCUGUUUUCCCCGCUUUCAGUGUGUUUGCUAAAGAAAAUGUGUUCCUCUGAAAUGCUUUGGACAGAGUUGUUUAUGGCAGGAAAUAGAUAUAAAAGAGCAGUUGUGUCAUUGCUGAGUAAAACCCCCGCAGCCGAACAUCCUGGAAAGAACUGGUGAUAACUGCUGUGAAUGUCUCCCUGAGCUGAGCUGGGGGUCAGGUUGUUGUGACUCUGGAGAAAAGGGACUUCAAAUAAUACUCAACUUAAAAAUCA